Molecule: ribosomal RNA, 163 nt
Filed under: Faberia nanchuanensis
Lineage: Eukaryota; Viridiplantae; Streptophyta; Magnoliopsida; Asterales; Asteraceae
Description: 5.8S ribosomal RNA
Rfam family: 5.8S ribosomal RNA
About the family: 5.8S ribosomal RNA (5.8S rRNA) is a component of the large subunit of the eukaryotic ribosome. It is transcribed by RNA polymerase I as part of the 45S precursor that also contains 18S and 28S rRNA.
Source: RNAcentral
CGACUCUCGGCAACGGAUAUCUCGGCUCACGCAUCGAUGAAGAACGUAGCAAAAUGCGAUACUUGGUGUGAAUUGCAGAAUCCCGUGAACCAUCGAGUUUUUGAACGCAAGUUGCGCCCAAAGCCAUCCGGCUGAGGGCACGCCUGCCUGGGCGUCACGCAUC